Molecule: long non-coding RNA, 2933 nt
Organism: Aegilops tauschii subsp. strangulata
Lineage: Eukaryota; Viridiplantae; Streptophyta; Magnoliopsida; Poales; Poaceae
Source: RefSeq, a predicted model, not a curated record
ACUCAUCCUCUCCCAUUCCCCAGAUCCAAUCGAGGCACCCCGCCGCCCCCGCCUUCCUUUCCCUCGCUCGUCUCAUCUCCCUCCCGCGAUUCCCACUGCCGUCACCCCCACCCACCACCGCCGACCUCGUCUCCGCCAUGCACCCCUCGCCUUCCUCUGCGGCUCCAAGGCUCGGCGCUCGGCGAGGGGGAAGCGGUGAGGCCGAGGUGGAGGACGGGGAUGGGGUGCAUGUUCGACUACUUCCGUGCGGCUGCGCCCAGCUCGCCUCGGAUCUAGGCUCGACGGAGCGGAGAUGAAUAUCACGAUGCUCGUCGUGUUGAGGCCGUCGGCCGGAGGCGCCGGGGGAUCCUCCUCCAGCGGCGGGUAGGGCUCCGAGGCGCUCGUGCUGGCCAACGCCACGGACGUCAGCCACUUCGGCUUCUUCCGGCGCGGCGCCGCACGCGAGUUCAUCGUCUUCGUCGCCCGCACCGUCGCCCAGCGCACCCAGCCAGGCCAGCGCUAGUCCGUCCAGCACGAAGGACAAUGGAAGUCCUUUGUUCGGAGAGAGAAACCAAGUUGAAGUGAGUGGAAAAUACUUCGGUGCAUCCUGGAGUCCAGCUACUGUUCUUAAAGUGAUUGGUGCUUCACAUUUUCUAGUACAGUACAUGCAUACUGAAAAUGAUGGGUACACGGAGUUUUUUGAAACAGAAACUUGUUCAUGGCCCUACUUGUGUCGGACAGCAAGUGCCAAACUUGAAACAGAAACUUGUAGUAGCGGGCCUGGAGCUUAGUUCUUCAAGCAUAACCUUUUAAAGCAGAAAUCAAUGCACCUCAUUGUUAUAUUUUUUUGUUUGCCCUACAGCUUUAAGCACUGUUGGUACAAUGUGAACUGGACUUCUUGGGGUGACUGGAUUUUGGGCAAACUUUGUUGCUGAUAUUGGCCAAACUUUAUGAUACAGAGUUUUGGUAAAUAAGCUAUUUUCUGAAGAAUUUUGUUGUGGAUAAUAUAUGUAUCUGUAGUAUGUGUGAAAUGUUGCAAGCUUCGCAUGUCAUUGAGAUUCUGGAAGAUGAUUUGGUUCACUUCACCCAGUGAUUUCUUUGUCAUAAACUGAGCAUAUGCGGUUUCUUCAGGAACCCUCCUUAUUGAAGUGUGCAUCCAUUCCAUUGAGAUGGCUAUUCCAAGCAGCAAAGUUUUGUUAAUGACAGUUCGUGUGCUUGCCCACUAACAAUUUUGCAUUUCUGCCCAAUAACAGGUUCCACUUCUUGGUGGAGCGAUGUGCAUGUGCACCUGGCAUUUCUUCUACAACUCAGUCUCUCGAGGUAACAUAUUGACCUGAAGGCAAAGCUACACCACAGGACUGAACCAUACCGUACGCCGGGCGUGGUCGUGCUACUAACCGCCAGGCCACCGACGCUGGCGCCGGUGCCGACCCCGACCAGAGAUCCGUCGCCGCCCAGGACCCCAAGCUACUGGACGACUUCGCAGACACCGAAGCCAACACCAAAGUUUAAUUACCACCUCCAAAUCAAAUCCUGGGGCUUCAUUCAUGGCUGUCUAGUACUGCUAGUUAAUCCUGGGGCUUCAUUAAUCCUGGGGCUUCAUUAAUCCUGGGGCUUAUUUACCAUCAGUUAGUACACUAUCCAGUACUGCUAGUUCUCAUCUCACUUGUUGUGCUUCUUGGACUGGGAGCACUCUUUGUUAUCCAAGAUCUAACAUGAAAGGUAAAAUGGGUACAUCGCUUGUCUUGUUGUAUUUGCAAGUUUGAAACUGGAUUAGCAUCUUGGAGUAUUGUUGUACUCCAACAGACUAAACAGUACGUACUCCAGUGCUGAUAGUUAGAGUAGCAUCUUGGAGUAGGGUAGUCCACAUUUGUCUAAAUUAGACCGGAUUAUUCAGAUUAGUCCACAUUUUAUAUUAUUCUUGGAGUACUGUACUGUAGCAGCAGCAUGAGUAAACUGAAUACUCCUUCAUAUGUUUCGUUCCUCCUUAUUCUUCCUCAGAUUGUGAAAAUGGAUUCAUUCCUUCUUACGCACUGCACUGUACUGUAAUAUUGGUUGCUUUUGAUGAGUGCCAGAGAGCAAUAAUAGAUCAUUUUUCGAAUUAAUACUCCAAAAUUUAUCUGUAUUGGAGGAGUGAUUGUUUCCAAAUCAAUACUACUGGGCAUCAUUCAUGGCUGUCUAGUAGUCGACAUACUUCUGGUUCCAUUUAGUAUAUGCAGGUAGCAGCAGCUUAAGUGUAAUGGACCUGUUGUUACUCUAUGCCUACGUUGUUAGAGUUUGCAUCAUCUCCUUGUUGUUUAUAGCAUAAUUGCCUUCACUAUUCUUGCUCUGAACCUUUGAUCAUGAUACUGACUGUAUUUGUCUUGAUGGAAUUACAGGCAACAUGGUGACUCUAGUGUAGGCAACACUGGCCAUCCUCUUCGAGGCUGUGUGUUUAGGUGAUUCCUCGGGUAGCCAUGACAGUACACUGGCUGAUUAGUGCCCAGUGGCAUGUUUCUAAUAUUUACAGGGAUUUCCUUUAUAGGAAUAAUGCUCAUGGACGAGCUGCAGCGGGACAACUUGGAGAGGAAGUACUUCGAGGACAAGAUCAAGGAGAACCAAGAGAAGAUCACCGGUUACCUCAUACUUCUCGGCAUGCCUAGCAACUUUGGCAGAUCCCUCUUUGGCUUCGACCAAGUUACUUUUGUCACUAGCCAGCAGCAUUUACAGGUGUUGUCAGUUCUGGAAGAUGGAAGAGGAAGAAAAAUAAUUUUUGUUGAACUAAAUUUUCUGUAUUCUGUUUUGUUGUACGUAUGAUUUGAUAGUUUUGUAUAGGAACAAGUGAUACUAUUUUGUAGGGCUUUAUGGCCUGUGUACUAUUUUGUAGGGCUUUAUGGCCUGUGAUGUAAACAUAUUUAGUGCUGAAUUAUGAAUUUUUUGAAAAAAUUAUUAGAAAGGAGAAUCAUUUGUAUGAA